This 491-nucleotide ribosomal RNA is filed under the name uncultured Polaromonas sp. RNAcentral's name for it is "bacterial SSU rRNA". It matches the Rfam family "Bacterial small subunit ribosomal RNA", at positions 8 to 492 of the family's 1533-position model. Lineage: Bacteria; Pseudomonadati; Pseudomonadota; Betaproteobacteria; Burkholderiales; Comamonadaceae. The record is from RNAcentral.
AGAGUUUGAUCAUGGCUCAGAUUGAACGCUGGCGGCAUGCCUUACACAUGCAAGUCGAGCGGCAGCGCGGGGGCAACCCUGGCGGCGAGCGGCGAACGGGUGAGUAAUACAUCGGAACGUGUCCAGUAGUGGGGGAUAACCAGUCGAAAGAUUGGCUAAUACCGCAUACGAUCUACGGAUGAAAGCGGGGGAUUCGCAAGGACCUCGCGCGAUUGGAGCGGCUGAUAUCAGAUUAGGUUGUUGGUGAGGUAAAAGCUCACCAAGCCGACGAUCUGUAACUGGUUUGAGAGAACGACCAGUCACACUGGGACUGAGACACGGCCCAGACUCCUACGGGAGGCAGCAGUGGGGAAUUUUGGACAAUGGGCGAAAGCCUGAUCCAGCAAUGCCGCGUGCAGGACGAAGGCCUUCGGGUUGUAAACUGCUUUUGUACGGAGCGAAAAGGUCUUGCCUAAUACGUGAGAUCCAUGACGGUACCGUAAGAAUAGACC